GUUCGAAAAAGGCAAACCACCCGAAAGCGUGGGGCGCAAAGCCACUGGCCUAAGUCCAAGGUUGCAAGGAUAGGGUAGCAGGGCUGCCGGG
RNAcentral lists this non-coding RNA (91 nucleotides) under Nitrospinota bacterium. Its description in RNAcentral is "Nitrospira bacterium c-di-GMP sequence". It matches the Rfam family "c-di-GMP-I riboswitch aptamer". Rfam says of the family: GEMM was predicted in a large-scale screen for bacterial structured RNA regulatory elements. Genes associated with GEMM are involved in a diverse array of functions, including chemotaxis regulation, signal transduction, secretion and chitin. Lineage: Bacteria; Pseudomonadati; Nitrospinota. The record is from RNAcentral.